ACGUAGGGUGCAAGCGUUAAUCGGAAUUAAUGGGCGUAAAGCGUGCGCAGGCGGUUGUGUAAGUCAGAUGUGAAAUCCCCGGGCUUAACCUGGGAAUGGCAUUUGAGACUGCACGGCUAGAGUGUGUCAGAGGGGGGUAGAAUUCCACGUGUAGCAGUGAAAUGCGUAGAGAUGUGGAGGAACACCGAUGGCGAAGGCAGCCCCCUGGGAUAACACUGACGCUCAUGCACGAAAGCGUGGGGAGCAAACAGG
This 252-nucleotide ribosomal RNA is filed under the name uncultured bacterium. Its description in RNAcentral is "partial 16S ribosomal RNA". It matches the Rfam family "Bacterial small subunit ribosomal RNA", at positions 525 to 776 of the family's 1533-position model. The record is from RNAcentral.